UACAGAGGGGGCAAGCGUUGUUCGGAAUUACUGGGCGUAAAGGGCGCGUAGGCGGCCUGUUAAGUCGGACGUGAAAUCCCUCGGCUCAACCGGGGAACUGCGUCCGAUACUGGCGGGCUUGAAUUCGGGAGAGGGAUGUGGAAUUCCAGGUGUAGCGGUGAAAUUCGUAGAUAUUGGGAAGAACACCGGUGGCGAAGGCGGCUCACUGGCUCAUAUCUGACGCUCAGGCGCGACAGCGUGGGGAUCAAACAGG
Molecule: ribosomal RNA, 253 nt
Filed under: uncultured bacterium
Lineage: Bacteria
Description: partial 16S ribosomal RNA
Rfam family: Bacterial small subunit ribosomal RNA
Source: RNAcentral